This 113-nucleotide small nuclear RNA is filed under the name Ursus maritimus (polar bear). RNAcentral describes it as "U5 spliceosomal RNA (ENSUMAG00000012500.1)". It matches the Rfam family "U5 spliceosomal RNA". Rfam says of the family: U5 RNA is a component of both types of known spliceosome. The precise function of this molecule is unknown, though it is known that the 5' loop is required for splice site selection and p220 binding, and that both the 3' stem-loop and the Sm site are important for Sm protein binding and cap methylation. The record is from RNAcentral. Lineage: Eukaryota; Metazoa; Chordata; Mammalia; Carnivora; Ursidae.
AUACUCUGGUUUUUUUUCAGAUCGCAUAAAUCUUUCGCCUUUUACUAAAGAUUUCCGUGGAGAGAAACGAUUCUGGGUUUUAAUCAAUUUAAACAAGGCUUUACAUAUGGUUU